RNAcentral lists this long non-coding RNA (1023 nucleotides) under Callithrix jacchus (white-tufted-ear marmoset). RNAcentral's name for it is "lncRNA (ENSCJAG00000076569.1)". The record is from RNAcentral. Lineage: Eukaryota; Metazoa; Chordata; Mammalia; Primates; Cebidae.
GAAGCAUAACACCAUGAGACGUUUUUGUUUGGGGACAGAGAAUAAUGAGGAAAAGAGAGAAAGAGUCUUGAAGGAACAGUUGAAAAGAUAUAGCAUGCUGUUAAGCAGGCAGGGUUGAACAUGAAAUAGAUAUCCCAUCAAAUGGGGAACUUGUGGAGAGUUUAAAGAAGAAACUAUUUCAGUGAGUGUCAGGGUUAAGUAAAAAAUCAAAAAACAAACUAGGAGGCAGCAAAGCCUUCCCUGGUAACAGUGGCGGGGCCCCAUUUUCCCCAAUCCUCCUGCCCUUCCCCUUGUCAGAGCUGCACCCUCAGGGCCUCUAUCACCCGCCUGCUCCAUGGUGCCCUUCAGGUCCCACCCUGGGCCUCCCUGAUGCUGAGAUGUGGCUGCCUAUGGGACCGUGCCUGGCCUCCUGGCAUGUGUGACCUGGAAAUGUGGCUAGGAGCUGACAGAACAUUUAGGUUGCACAAGGUCUGCUGGAGCACUUUAGAGAAUUCCAGAUGAAUCUUGAUUGCAUCCUGGAAUGCACCGCUGGAGCCCUGGGGACCAGCAUGGGACAUGAGUGAAGACAAGAUGGGAUCUAUUGUCCUCCAGACCUGCAUAUAUGUGUGUUCAAAUCCUGACUCCAUGAGGCUUGAGUCUGUAUCCCUCUGGAAAAAUGGAAAUAAAAGUGCCUACCUUAUGGGUUUAUUCUGAGGACUAUUUGAGAUAAUGCAUUUAAAGAACUUGCUCAGUGCAUAGCACAUCAUGGGCACUCACUAAAUAUUAGCUCUUAAUAUAGUUAUGAAAACUAAACCCAAUGGGGAGAAAAUGCAAGGCCAUCUUGAUAAUGAGGGAGUCAGCUCUCUGAGCCCAGAAGACCAUAUUCCAGGGCCAGGCAUAGUGGCUCACACCUGUAAUCCUAGCACUUGGGGAGGCUGAGCUGGGGGAUGACUUGAGGCCAGGGGUUUGAGACUAGCCUGGCUAACAUGGAAAAAACCCAUCUUUACUAAAAAUGCGAACAAUUAGCUGGGUGUGGUGGCACAC